AGGGAGCUUGCUCCUGGAUUCAGCGGCGGACGGGUGAGUAAUGCCUAGGAAUCUGCCUGGUAGUGGGGGAUAACGUCCGGAAACGGGCGCUAAUACCGCAUACGUCCUGAGGGAGAAAGUGGGGGAUCUUCGGACCUCACGCUAUCAGAUGAGCCUAGGUCGGAUUAGCUAGUUGGUGGGGUAAAGGCCUACCAAGGCGACGAUCCGUAACUGGUCUGAGAGGAUGAUCAGUCACACUGGAACUGAGACACGGUCCAGACUCCUACGGGAGGCAGCAGUGGGGAAUAUUGGACAAUGGGCGAAAGCCUGAUCCAGCCAUGCCGCGUGUGUGAAGAAGGUCUUCGGAUUGUAAAGCACUUUAAGUUGGGAGGAAGGGCAGUAAGUUAAUACCUUGCUGUUUUGACGUUACCAACAGAAUAAGCACCGGCUAACUUCGUGCCAGCAGCCGCGGUAAUACGAAGGGUGCAAGCGUUAAUCGGAAUUACUGGGCGUAAAGCGCGCGUAGGUGGUUCAGCAAGUUGGAUGUGAAAUCCCCGGGCUCAACCUGGGAACUGCAUCCAAAACUACUGAGCUAGAGUACGGUAGAGGGUGGUGGAAUUUCCUGUGUAGCGGUGAAAUGCGUAGAUAUAGGAAGGAACACCAGUGGCGAAGGCGACCACCUGGACUGAUACUGACACUGAGGUGCGAAAGCGUGGGGAGCAAACAGGAUUAG
This 712-nucleotide ribosomal RNA is filed under the name uncultured Pseudomonadales bacterium. Its description in RNAcentral is "bacterial SSU rRNA". It matches the Rfam family "Bacterial small subunit ribosomal RNA", at positions 73 to 781 of the family's 1533-position model. Lineage: Bacteria; Pseudomonadati; Pseudomonadota; Gammaproteobacteria; Pseudomonadales. The record is from RNAcentral.